Molecule: long non-coding RNA, 953 nt
Filed under: Struthio camelus australis
Lineage: Eukaryota; Metazoa; Chordata; Aves; Struthioniformes; Struthionidae
Description: lncRNA (ENSSCUG00000014213.1)
Source: RNAcentral
UCCAGAGCUGCUGGUCCUUGCUUCACCAAGAGGAACUGUUGUUGAAUGUUAGGAAACAAAAUCUAUGGAUCUGUGGAUCUGUCCCUUAGAGAUAACUACAGCUGCAAGAACUGCACUUCUGAAAGCAGUACAAACAUGACAGAAGCUUCUGUGGACACGUAUAGUACAAGGUUUGGUUUGAACUCAGAAACCUCUUCUGGAAUUUUAAUAUCUCCUUAAAUAAGCUCACAAAAAAGAGAUGUUCUGCAAAGGGGACUUUGCAUCAAUUAUUUUAAGCCUUCCAAAAAGGAGCAUGUGCAAGUUUCCCACAUCCGUUUUUGUGACUGCGAAGACCCCGACUUGUGAGUAUAUCUGUCCUUUUAAUCAGCUUGAACGUGUGCUUAUAGAUUUCCUAGUUGCACCUUUAGAGUGACUAGGUUUGGACCCAUUCCUGCAAGGAGGAGCUUAAAUACCUCAGAGCUGCAUUUACUAGCGUUACUAGCUCCAUAUAAUAAUGCUCACAGGCCACUGUUUUUAUCUGUUAGCGCUAGCAUAUUCUUCCUUUAGUUUGCUGCUUCUACCUCAUACUGUAUGGCAAGAACACAUACAAGAGGAAAAGCCAUACUUUUCAAACAAUAUUGAUGUUCCUGUUUAGGCUGCUGGAGGUGAUUUUGGAACUGUGGAGAAGCUAAAGGCAUGAAAAUAAUCUUUUACUGCCUUGCUUACUCUAGCAAUUUUUUUCUUUUCUACAAUGUAAAUCUAAAGCAGCCUCAAAAUUUGUCAGUCUGUCUUAAUAAGCACAUCACUAUUUCUGAAUGCUGUUCUGAAAACCACAGCAAGGAAACCUAUUUUUGUGCCGGCUUUUGAAAUGAAGACCCCGACUUUGAGGAAAGAUGCGUAUUUUGAAAUGCAUUAUUGUGUCAAGCUAGUGGCAGCCAAAUAAAUUAAAGAAACAAAAGGGAAAACCGUUGUGC